CUGAGGAGAGAGGGGGGGAGGGGGAGAGCCCUGAGCGGUGUCAGGCGGUACCUGCGCUGGAAGUCCAGGGCGAAGGGCUUCAGGCAUUAAUAACAGACUUGAUGAGAGAUAUCUAGCAACCGAGGACCUCAGAGUGAAAGAGUGAGGAAUCUGACAACCUUUGGAAAGGCAUGUCUUAAUUUUCCAUGAAGACGGCAACAUGCAAAUAGGCAGUAGCCAGCUAAACUGCCCCUCUCCCACCUUGUGAAGCCUUUCAGAGGACCCUGGAGGAACAGAUUGUCAUUUUGUCUUCAGACUCGUUCACCAUCUAACCUCUCUAUUUAGACUGCCAAAUGAUGUCAAAGACAUCCUGUCAAAAGCCAAGAACUAUGAACACACAUUAAAUCUGAUGAAGUGAGAAGACUCUCAUUUUGAUAAUCCUUUUAUCUUCACUCUCCAACUAAAGUUAAGGAAGAAAGAACUAUUGACAUUCAAUAAAGAAUGAUGGGAACCCCUGCUUUCACUUGCUCUGACCCCACAUAGGAAGAGAAGUAAGUCAAAGAAAGUCAUAAUGACACAUCGUUUUCAUUACUAUGUGAUAUUUCAAAGUUAAAGGAGAGAGGUAAUACAGAGGGUAUACUCUCUCUUAGACUCAUAUCUUUUCACAAGGUUCCCAACCAGGAUAUGGUUAUAGAAGGACUAUCCUCUCUUCUAGGGACCACAUUGUAUUCGUAGGAAAAUUCUAGUAGACGUUGACAUUGUGAUUCUGUGUAUUUAAGUGUUGUAGCUUUGUUUUAGGCAUAAGUAAUUGAAUCUGGCUGUAACCCAGCCUGUAUCAGAUUACUUCACUGGAGUUGAGUGGGUUUAGAACUCACCUCUCCUCUCUUUGGGUUCUAUGGUGGGAGCUGCACACUCUUGUUGAGACAAAGAAGAUGACCUAAGAUACGUUUCUAAGUUGUGAGUUAUUUUUACGCAACCUUGUGAUAAGGAGUAUGAUCUUUACAAAAGGAGCAAUUGUCUUUAUUAAAUAGGUGUCUAAGAGUAUUAUUGGAGAAGGGUGUCUUUGGUGACUGUAUUGUUGGUUAUAUCUGACUCUAAUUCACGGGAUAUUGCUUUGAGAAAACUAUUGCUAAUAGUCCCUAGACUAUCAGUGACAUUUCCUGUGUUACUAAUCAUAGAAAAGCUGCCAUAAUUUCAAUGAACACAUCUUCCUUGACUUAUGAUAGGGUUAUGUCCUGAUAAAACCCUGAUAAAUGUUGUAAGUUGAAAAUAUCAUUAGUUGAAAAUGCAUUUAAUAUACCUAACCUACUGAACAGCAUAGCUUAGCCUAGUCUUUUGAAUGUGCUCAGAACACUUACAUUAGCCUGCAGUUGGGCAAAAUCAUCUAAUGCAACGCCUAUUUUAUAAUUAAAUGUUGAGUAUUUCAUGUAAUUUAUUGGAUGUUGUGUUGAAAGUGAAAAACAGAAUAGUUGUGUGGGUGCAACGUGGUUGUAAAUGUAUCAGUUGUUUACCCUCAUGAUCCCAUGGCUGACAGAGCUCCGACUGCCAUUGCCGAGCAUCACUAGAAAGGAUUGGAUUGCAUGUUACUAGCCUGGGAAAAGAUCAAAAUUCAAAAUUCAAAAUAAAGUUUCUACUAAAUGUGUAUCACUUUCACACUAUCAUAAAGCUGAAAAAUCAUAAGUCAAACCAUUGUAAGUUGGGGACCAUCUGUACAGUAAGUGGCAUAUAACUAACAUUCUUGUUUAUAUGUGAAUUUCACAUGUUUUAUCUUUUGGCUUAUUGGACAUAGGUCAGUGAAAAGCAUUGUUAGCACUAGGGAGUUUUCCACAUGUUAUGUCUUUAAACUCAAUGAAUCACUGUAACAUCCAAACUGGCAUUGCACUAUUUAUACUGUCUAAUCAGGAAUAUAAUUUCACAACAUUGAAUUUGCAGCACAACCAUAGCAUUGCAAUUUAGCACACAUUUUGUUAAUGUGCUUUGUAUCCCAUUAAAGUCUCAUCUUCACAGCCCAGUGCCAUAUGUUACCGGUCUAGAGUAAACCUCUUAAGCAAGAGGAAAUAAAUGGGAGUAAAAUUACAAUGUGACAUAUGCUAUUGGUUACCUACCAACAACCAGUCCUCUCUUCUUCCCUGAUCAAACCCCAAUUUUGUUCAAGUUUGGGAAAAAUGUGCUCAGGAAAGAUGAGUUCACUUCUAGCUCAGGUAUGAAAUAUGAAGGAUAUCGCCAUAGUAUCAUUCCCCUUUCAACCAGAGAUUCAUUUGGGAUUUGUAUGUAACCAAGUUUUGGCCAAGAGGACAUGAAAAAAAGUCUGUUGCAAGGCUUCUGGAAAAAGUAUUUUUCCUGAUAAAAGAAAUACGCGUUAAGGAGAAAACUCCUCAGUUCCCUUUCCUUUCCAGCCUUUGGAUGUUGUUAUGAGGAUUUAAUGCAUAGAGUUACUGCUGCCUAAGGGGUUGGGGAUGAGGAAGUUUGUGACAGGCAGAGCAAGGCAAGCCAGAGGUUAGAACGAGCUUAGGUACUUUAAGGCAUUGUUAGGCUGCUGAGCCAAUGCUUAGAUCUGUUUCUCGCUGGACUUCCUCCUGAAUGUCAUAAUAAAUGUCCUUAUUUUUUAAGCCACGUUUAGCAGGGUCUUCUGUUACUUACAGACAAAAGCAUUCCAGCUGAUAAAAGAAGUUAGUUAAAAGAAUGCAGUUCGUACCAUUGUGGUUGCUUUUCUCACAGGCAAAGGUAAGGCAAAGAGAAGAAAGAGCAUUUCUGGCUUACUAAUGAGCUUUUUGUAGAUCUGGUAGUUUACAGCUUGAAAUGUAUUCCCCCCACAGAAAAUGUUAUAAAUGGUGUCCAGGUUCCCAAGGUAAACCCAUAAGGCCUAUUUAAUCCAAUAAUACCACAAAAUCUGUAUGGUCUAGGAGAAUUGAAUCACCUUGAAAAACAAUGUUUCCUUUGGGAUGAAAAUGUAUUCAAGAAAAAAAAAUGAAUUCAGAGAUCCAGCUUGGCAAACAGAAAAUAAUUACCCCAACAUCAACAAAACUGAGGACUUCUCUUCGUUAUGGAUAGAGUAGUGGGAAGAUUUAUUAACCCAUAUCCCAAAAGGCAGUGGUAAUACCUGUUGCCUGAGAGUUAG
This is a long non-coding RNA of Panthera uncia (snow leopard), 3097 nucleotides long. RefSeq lists it as uncharacterized. The record is from RefSeq and is a predicted model, not a curated record. The transcript is spliced from 5 exons. Lineage: Eukaryota; Metazoa; Chordata; Mammalia; Carnivora; Felidae.